This 616-nucleotide ribosomal RNA is filed under the name Photorhabdus tasmaniensis. Its description in RNAcentral is "bacterial SSU rRNA". It matches the Rfam family "Bacterial small subunit ribosomal RNA", at positions 56 to 655 of the family's 1533-position model. The record is from RNAcentral. Lineage: Bacteria; Pseudomonadati; Pseudomonadota; Gammaproteobacteria; Enterobacterales; Morganellaceae.
UGCAAGUCGAGCGGUAACAGGGAAAGUGCCUUGCACUUUUGCUGACGAGCGGCGGACGGGUGAGUCAUGUCUGGGCGAUCUGCCCGAGGGCGGGGGAUAACCACUGGGAACGGUGGCUAAUACCGCAUAAUGUCGCAAGACCAAAGUGGGGGACCUGAAAGGGCCUCACGCCCGCUGAUGAACCCAGAUGGGAUUAGCUGGUAGGUGGGGUAAUGGCUCACCUAGGCGACGAUCCCUAGCUGGUCUGAGAGGAUGACCAGCCACACUGGGACUGAGACACGGCCCAGACUCAUACGGGAGGCAGCAGUGGGGAAUAUUGCACAAUGGGCGCAAGCCUGAUGCAGCCAUGCCGCGUGUAUGAAGAAGGCCUUCGGGUUGUAAAGUACUUUCAGCGGGGAGGAAGGGGUUGAUUUGAACAGAGUCAAUUCUUGACGUUACCCGCAGAAGAAGCACCGGCUAACUCCGUGCCAGCAGCCGCGGUAAUACGGAGGGUGCAAGCGUUAAUCGGAAUGACUGGGCGUAAAGAGCACGCGGGCGGUCAAUUAAGUUGGAUGUGAAAAUCCCCGGGCUUAACCUGGGAACGGCAUCCAAGACUGGUUGGCUAGAGUCUCGUAGA